This 253-nucleotide ribosomal RNA is filed under the name uncultured bacterium. RNAcentral describes it as "partial 16S ribosomal RNA". It matches the Rfam family "Bacterial small subunit ribosomal RNA", at positions 524 to 776 of the family's 1533-position model. The record is from RNAcentral.
UACGUAGGGUGCGAGCGUUAAUCGGAAUUACUGGGCGUAAAGCGUGCGCAGGCGGUGAUGUAAGACAGGUGUGAAAUCCCCGGGCUUAACCUGGGAAUGGCCGUUGAAACUGGCGAACUGGAGUGUGGCAGAGGGGGGUGGAAUUCCGCGUGUAGCAGUGAAAUGCGUAGAGAUGCGGAGGAACACCGAUGGCGAAGGCAGCCCCCUGGGCUAACACUGACGCUCAGGCACGAAAGCGUGGGGAGCAAACAGG